This 535-nucleotide ribosomal RNA is filed under the name Metatrichia waterhousei. RNAcentral describes it as "partial 16S ribosomal RNA". The stretch from base 403 to 535 matches the Rfam family "Bacterial large subunit ribosomal RNA", at positions 2473 to 2606 of the family's 2925-position model. Lineage: Eukaryota; Metazoa; Arthropoda; Insecta; Diptera; Scenopinidae. The record is from RNAcentral.
CAAAAACAUGUCCUAUUGAAUUUAAUAUUAGGUUUACCUGCCCAAUGAUAAAUUAAAUUUAAAUGGCCGCAGUAUUUUAACUGUGCAAAGGUAGCAUAAUCAUUAGUCUUUUAAUUAAAGGCUUGUAUGAAUGGUUGGACGAGAUGUAGACUGUAUCAUAAUUAAAAUUUUAAUAGAAUUUUAUUUUUUAGUUAAAAAGCUAAAAUUAUGUUGAAAGACGAGAAGACCCUAUAGAUCUUUAUAAAUAGUUUUUUUAAUAAUAUUUAGAUGUUUAAAUUAUUAAGAAAGUUAUUAAUUUUAUUGGGGUGAUAUUAAAAUUUGAAAAACUUUUAAUUUAUUCUUUACAUUAAUUUAUGAAUAUAUGAUCCAUUAUUAGUGAUUAUAAAAUUAAGUUACCUUAGGGAUAACAGCGUAAUUUUUUUGGAGAGUUCUUAUCGAUAAUAAAGAUUGCGACCUCGAUGUUGGAUUAAAAAUAAUAUUAGGUGUAGUAGCUUAUUAAUUAAGUCUGUUCGACUUUUAAUUUUUUACAUGAUCU